RNAcentral lists this ribosomal RNA (494 nucleotides) under uncultured bacterium. RNAcentral's name for it is "partial 16S ribosomal RNA". It matches the Rfam family "Bacterial small subunit ribosomal RNA", at positions 28 to 507 of the family's 1533-position model. The record is from RNAcentral.
GACGAACGCUGGCGGCGCGCUUAACACAUGCAAGUCGAACGGAAAGGCCUGCUUUCCCUUGUGGAUUGCGGGUACUCGAGUGGCGAACGGGUGAGUAACACGUGAGUGAUCUGCCCCCAACUUGGGUAUAAGCCUGGGAAACUGGGUCUAAUUCCCGAUAGGACUGCAGGGUGGUGCCUGUGGUGGAAAACGAUUUUCUAGUGGUUGGGGAUGAGCUCGCGGCCUAUCAGCUUGUUGGUGGGGUAAUGGCCUACCAAGGCGGCGACGGGUAGCCGGCCUGAGAGGGUGGACGGCAACAUUGGGACUGGGAUACGGCCCAGACUCCUACGGGAGGCAGCAGUGGGGAAUAUUGCACAAUGGGCGGAAGCCUGAUGCAGCGACGCCGCGUGGGGGAUGACGGCCUUCGGGUUGUAAACUCCUUUGGACCGCGAGGAAGCCACCUGGUUGGAAGGGUGGUGACGGUAGUGUUAGAAGAAGCACCGGCUAACUACGUG